This 416-nucleotide ribosomal RNA is filed under the name uncultured bacterium. RNAcentral's name for it is "bacterial SSU rRNA". It matches the Rfam family "Bacterial small subunit ribosomal RNA", at positions 954 to 1368 of the family's 1533-position model. The record is from RNAcentral.
GCAGAACGCGAAGAACCUUACCAGCCCUUGACAUCCCGGUCGCGGUUACCAGAGAUGGUUUCCUUCAGUUCGGCUGGACCGGUGACAGGUGCUGCAUGGCUGUCGUCAGCUCGUGUCGUGAGAUGUUGGGUUAAGUCCCGCAACGAGCGCAACCCUCGCCUUUAGUUGCCAUCAUUGAGUUGGGCACUCUAGAGGGACUGCCGGUGAUAAGCCGGAGGAAGGUGGGGAUGACGUCAAGUCCUCAUGGCCCUUACGGGCUGGGCUACACACGUGCUACAAUGGUGGUGACAGUGGGCAGCAAGCACGCGAGUGUGAGCUAAUCUCCAAAAGCCAUCUCAGUUCGGAUUGCACUCUGCAACUCGAGUGCAUGAAGUUGGAAUCGCUAGUAAUCGCGGAUCAGCAUGCCGCGGUGAAUA